RNAcentral lists this ribosomal RNA (375 nucleotides) under uncultured bacterium. RNAcentral describes it as "bacterial SSU rRNA". It matches the Rfam family "Bacterial small subunit ribosomal RNA", at positions 524 to 898 of the family's 1533-position model. The record is from RNAcentral.
UACGUAGGGGACAAGCGUUGUCCGGAAUGACUGGGCGUAAAGGGCGCGUAGGCGGUCUACACAGUCAGAUGUGAAAUCCCCGGGCUUAACCUGGGAGCCGCAUUUGAUACGUGUAGACUAGAGUGUGAGAGAGGGUUGUGGAAUUCCCAGUGUAGAGGUGAAAUUCGUAGAUAUUGGGAAGAACACCGGUGGCGAAGGCGGCAACCUGGCUCAUUACUGACGCUGAGGCGCGAAAGCGUGGGGAGCAAACAGGAUUAGAUACCCUGUUAGUCCACGCUGUAAACGAUGUGUGCUAGAUGUUGGGUAACUUUGUUAUUCAGUGUCGCAGUUAACGCGUUAAGCACACCGCCUGGGGAGUACGGCCGCAAGGUUGGA